ACUCCUACGGGAGGCAGCAGUAGGGAAUCUUCCACAAUGGGCGCAAGCCUGAUGGAGCAACACCGCGUGAGUGAAGUAAGGGUUUCGGCUACGUAAAGCUCUGUUAGUUAAAGAAGAACACGUAUGAGAGUAACUGUUCAUACGUUGACGGUAUUAACCAGAAAGUCACGGCUAACUACGUGCCAGCAGCCGCGGUAAUACGUAGGUGGCAAGCGUUAUCCGGAUUUAUUGGGCGUAAAGAGAGUGCAGGCGGUUUUCUAAGUCUGAUGUGAAAGCCUUCGGCGUUAACCGGAGAAGUGCAUCGGAAACUAGGAUAACUUGAGUGCAGAAGAGGGUAGUGGAACU
This 345-nucleotide ribosomal RNA is filed under the name uncultured bacterium. RNAcentral's name for it is "bacterial SSU rRNA". It matches the Rfam family "Bacterial small subunit ribosomal RNA", at positions 335 to 668 of the family's 1533-position model. The record is from RNAcentral.